This 504-nucleotide ribosomal RNA is filed under the name uncultured bacterium. RNAcentral describes it as "bacterial SSU rRNA". It matches the Rfam family "Bacterial small subunit ribosomal RNA", at positions 30 to 524 of the family's 1533-position model. The record is from RNAcentral.
AUUGAACGCUGGCGGCGUGCCUAACACAUGCAAGUCGAGCGGUAACAGGUGUAGCAAUACAUGCUGACGAGCGGCGAACGGGUGAGUAAUGCUUCGGAAUCUACCCAAUGGUGGGGAAUAACCAGCCGAAAGGUUGGCUAAUACCGCAUACGUCCCACGGGAGAAAGCAGGGGAUCGCAAGACCUUGCGCCAAUGGAUGAGCCGAAGUCGGAUUAGCUAGUUGGAGGGUAACGGCCUACCAAGGCGACGAUCCGUAGCUGGUCUGAGAGGACGACCAGCCACACUGGGACUGAGACACGGCCCAGACUCCUACGGGAGGCAGCAGUGGGGAAUAUUGGACAAUGGGGGAAACCCUGAUCCAGCGGCGCCGCGUGUGUGAAGAAGGCCUGCGGGGUUGUAAAGCACUUUUAGUUGGGGAUGAAAUGUUCAGGGUUAACACCUCUGGAUUUGUACCUAACCCACAGAAAAGACNCCGGCUAACUCUGUGCCAGCAGCCGCCGUAAC